RNAcentral lists this long non-coding RNA (25221 nucleotides) under Olea europaea subsp. europaea. The record is from RNAcentral. Lineage: Eukaryota; Viridiplantae; Streptophyta; Magnoliopsida; Lamiales; Oleaceae.
UGAUUAUGUUACGUCGUUGAUUAACAUACCAUAUACCAUAAAUUCUUUGGGGAACAUAAUAUUUUUGUCUGCUGCAUGGAGAAUUUAUUUAUUUUAUUUAUUUUUUGGUUCUACACUUGCACAUUAACCUAUGGUGCACUGUUCCUAUUUUUAAAUCUCAGAUCUCUAUAUCUUCCAUUAGUAGAAUAAUUUCCAGACAUGUCUUGUCUGCCUCACUGCUGAAAAUAUUACUUAUCUCAUAAUGUAGACGAUGGCUUCUUCCUUGCAGCUAAAAUUUUGUUUUUCUGGUUGAUCAUAAAUUUUAUCUAUUCUCUUCCCUUGAGUACCAGGUUAAUCUUGGUUCCACCGUGGAUACACCGGCCCUGGUGCCUCUCGAUGCAGAUGUUUCUGCUUCGAUCCACAAUGGAUUUGGGUCGAAUGACCCUAGGAGAGGGGAAAGUGAAAUAAAAGGUGUUGAACUUAGCCCAGAACAUUUAGCUCCAGGGGCUAACACACCAACAGAGAUCUCUCUUUUUCAGACGCUGAUUGCAGCUUUAAUUCCUGAAGAAGGAAAUCAAGAGCUUUGCAGCAGUGGAAAUGAAGACUGCAGAUUUGAUGUGUAUGGAUCUCGUUUUGAAAUGGAAAAAGAUAUGGAUUCACAUACUUUCUGCUCGCUGAGGUCUCAAAAUCGUGAUAUUUCCAGAUAUUCUGCUUCUAAUGGUUACAGGAUAAACGCUAAUGGAGAAAUCUUCUAUGAACUGGACCCCACGUUUCCAGAUCAUGAUGGCAGUUCUAUUCCAGACACUGGAAUUAUUCCAGUCUGCAAUCAUUUGCAAAAUGGUUUACUUUCAGACCAGAUUACACCUGGCGUAGAAUGUUCUGAAUAUCAGUAUAGUAAUAUGUCAAUAAAUGAAAGACUUCUCGUGGAGAUUCAUAGUAUUGGACUUUACCCAGAUUUAGUGGUAUGUUUGUUUUUCCUUCAAUAUGCAGAUAAUCUUGUAUAAUACGUUAUAUUUUCACAGCCUUUCCCUGAUUUCUCUGCAUUCCUGUGAUUGCCAUGCCCUUUUGAUCAGCCUGAUUUGUGUCAGAAUGGAGAAGAAGAAAUCAGUGGAGAUCUUAGUAGAUUAGAUGAGAAGUAUCAAGAAGAGGUAAGAUCAGAUGUUUACCUCUCCUCUUCCUAUUUCUCUACUGCUCUGUCAAUUCAAAGAAAUAAGAGAGAGAGAAGGAAAAGAAAAGAACCCUAAAGGAAAAAGAAAAGAAAACGAGGGUCUGUACACUUAUUACGCAAGGAUUUUGGAAGUUUCAUAUCCUGCUUAGAUCAUCAAUCAUGAUGCUCAGAAUCCUUUUUCAUUUAUGGAGUUGAAUACCAAUGGAGCAUGCAACUAUUAGUUUUCCACUCUCUCGGUGGUUUACCCUGUAACCUUGAUGUCGAUGAGAUGUACUUUUUGUGUGAAGUUUCUUAAAAUCACAAUUUUCUACUCAACUAUUCUCUUUUUGUUCUUCUGGUUAAUGUUGAAUCUGAACAUGUUUAGUUCUGGAAUUUAAUUCAAACCUCUGAUUUUGCAUAUGUUAGAUACUUCUUUUUAUAUAGUGAAGCUUCUAGAUUUCAGUGAAGUGUAUUAUUCAUGUCAGGAGCCUUUCUCAUAUUUUAGUUGAUGAAUAGGUUUCAAGGAAGAAAAGUUUGCUUGGCAAACUGCUAAAUUCAGCUUCUGAGGCUAAAGAGCUUCAAGAAAAGUAAGGAGUUUGUUCUUUAUUUUCAGACGUGGUUUAUUUGUGAUUUUUACUUGACUAUGAGUGCUUUUUGUCAAUAACCCAAACACUUUAUUCUAUCACAGCCUGUUCGAACAGUGUGCUUUAGAGAAACUUGUAGGAUUGGCUUACGAAAAGUACCGGGUAUUUUUUCUAUUCUAUAUCCUUUCUUUAUUUAAUUGAUUUUAAAUGCGCAUUUCCCUUUUAAAAGUAUGUAAAUAUAAUUUGUCUGCGUCAUGGAUUGACACAUCAAAUUUAUUUGUGAAUAUUACAUGUAUAUCCAUCAAGUUUGUUUGUUACAGGGAAUAUGAUUUCGUCCAUGUCAAUAUAUUCUUCCACCUUAAAAUUUAUGACAAUCCUAGUCAAUCAUUUUUUCCUUUUUUACCCUACCUUUUUUAUCAACUGGAAAAAUUAGUACAAGAGGCAGGGUGACAUACCAGCCUUACCUCCGAAGGUCGAGGAAGAAAAAGAAGGAUUAGCAAAAGCUGAAAUUGAAAGUACUACUCUUGUUAUAGUGAGCCAUUACAAAAUUUAAAUUUGGGAGUACUACACUCAUUACAACAAUAGAGACAGAGGAAUGCAGUAACUCAAUUGACCCAAGAAAACUCAAGAAAAUAAUAUAACUAAGUCUGCAAGCAGGCACUAAAGACAACCAAAUACACAAGCAAAUUACACAUAGCAUGAGUAUGCAGUCACAUGUGCAGUAAAUUAAAUAAAAUAAAGUAAUGCAAUGAUGGAUCCUACAGUAGGCUGGAAAGCAAAUAUGCAAUAACCUAUGGCCUAAUAUGCAGCAGUCACACUACAUGGAAAUGAAUAAAUCCUACUGCUUUCUCUUCCAUUGUCCACUUGAGACUCAUUCUCAAAUAUAGAAAGCAAACUUUGGUAUGGAUUUAUUAUCAGAUCUGGGAGAGAUUCAUCACCGAAGUUUUGGUAAGCAUUGGAAAAGCAUCCCAGCAGGUUAUUGAAGAAGUAGACCAAUCUCAAUCAUCUACUUUGCAUUAGAAAACAAGGCUGUUUAGUCAGUUUCUUUGGGGCCUGCAGAUAGGGAUUCUCGUUCUGUCUGUAUGUAAGAUGCCAAUAAUCGUCCCCAUUAAGUCUUUAGCAUAUAAUAUUCUGCUCUAUUUAGUUUUGUUAUCUUUAUUUUUUAUUAGUCAGUCUUAGAAUCUUGUUCAGUCUUAAAAUCAUGUGACCAUUAUUAUUGAAUCUAAUGCUGUUUUAGUUGUUGAAUCUGCCGGACAUUUUGUAUGUCAAUCCUGAAGAUAUAGUUACUAACACACUAGGAAAUUCCAUAUCUUAAUAGAACGGAGAUUUUGGUAAGAUUAUUGAUGUUUGCUAUGGGAAUGCUUUAUGUACAAUUGUAAACAUAAUCAAAUAUCCCUACCCACCUAAACAAGAAAAACAAAAGAAAAGAUUAAGAAGAUCAGAGACAAAAACAUAUUAAGCCCUUGUUUGAGCCCCAUUUUGGAGGAGAAAAUGAAUUUUUGAAUAGUGUAUUGAUGGGAAAUGUAUGGCUAAAAAAUAAGAAAAAUUUUUGAUUUGCGUAUAAUAUUAUUUUAUUGAAAAAUGUGUGAUUGAAAUGGUGUCAAAUUACUGUUGAAGAAUGUAUUUUGUUGAAAAAAUGGGGCUCAAACAAGGGCUAAAUAUGAAAAAGAAGAAAAACGAACAAAGACUGGAGAUUGCUUCCUUCUCGAAAGUCUAGUUUCCUUAUAUUCACCUAUGGAUUGAAGGAACGAAAAAAAUAAUAUGACUUCUAGAAUCUAGAUCAUCUUUGGGUUGGCUUAAAAAGUUACUUAAGUUUAAUAAAUGAAUAAAUUUAAAUAAUAGUCAAUGUUGGAAAUGAUUAGUUAUUUUGAUAGUAAGGUCAGAAUUACUUUCAAAUGUGUUACCAAAAGUUAUUCGUCAUCCCUCCCAAUGGAGAUCCCUUUCGUCAAAUCCAAAACCACCCACCCAACACCUAAUCACCCAACCACCGCCUAACCACUAGUCGGUGCCGACGACAACUACGACGACGGCCAUAAGGCCCCAUUUGACAAACCCCAAAUCAUCGGCAGCCACAACUUGACCCACACAUAGGCGGUGCCCUAGGUGGAAACCUUAGCAUCACCAUCGAAAUGCUAUAAGUAGAGGCAUGCUUUUUUGGGUUGACAUGGAGGUCCUAGGCGUCGGCAAACAAGGCGGAAGGGGGGAGUCGAGUUACAUUAGGCACCAUCUGGGAUCCCAUCCCAGUUUACGCAAGAUGUGGCCGUCCUCCUGAUAGACGUGCCUGACCGGCGGACUUUGCAACCAUUCUGACGUCGAAGGGUCUGUGGCGAGGAGCACGCUCCGCUUCGACAGCUCGUCCGUCGACGUGUGAAGCCCACAUGUCUUCGCUGGAGAGUCUGAAAAAUCCUCUCAUCGAUUUUGGUUCAUCCUGCCAGCCUGUUCUAUCGUUAGAUACGUCAUUUAUACACAAUCAGGGGAAAAAGUUUGCUGAUGCAUACAGUAUGAUGGUUUUCAAUUGUCGUUUUAGAAUUGAGGGGAAGGAGUUUGCAGUGAUUGUUAAUGAUUUCAUAACUGUUAUGAGGACAUAAUAGAGUUCGAAGAUAUUGAAUGCAAUCUACAUGGAGAGGUUUGGUGCACUCUGGAUGGUGAAUAUGGUGGAUAAGUUGAGGGUGGCUAGUAAGUUGAAGGAUUUUGUCACUAAGUUCAAUGAGUCUUCAAGAGCUUUUUUGGCACAACGUUGUGAGAACAGUCGUCCUAGGUACUUGAUGGUACAUUGUAUGUGAAGGGGCAUCAGAAAGGAGUUGUGAUGGUGCCGAAAGACUUGAAUGGAGAGGGAUCGGCAUCAAUUUUGCUGGUGUUUUAGGUAGUUGUCAAUUCAUUCGUCACUAGAGACGAGACCAAAUGUCGAAUGGUGCCCGAAAGUAAUCAACAAGGAAUGACUUAAUGCCGGAGUUACGACGAACUUACAGGCUCCGCAGAAUGUUGAUCAAUGGGUGCUAAUGCGAAAGGAAAUGGUGAUUAAUGGGAGUGAAAAUGAAGGUUAAUUUAUGUUGCCUAAGGUUAUGGAAGCAAAUGCAGAAGGUGCACAUGGUAUUUUUUUGAAUAGCGCUGAAAUAAAGGCCCGUGUCUAGGCAUUAAACGGGGAGUUGCUGGAAUCAAUCAGGCUAUUGGGAAGUGGGUUUGAAGCGGGCUCCUAGAUAAUUUGUCACAAGUGUGGGGUGGGCAUGGAUGAGCCUUCGACGAUGGGAAAAAAGUAGCGAGUUUGGCUCCUAAGGAGUUAAACCGAAGGUGGUCCAUACGAAAGAAAAACAGGUGAUGAUUAAGUCCAUUUACGAUUCUCAGGCAUGGAUUGUAGCGGUGUACUCUAGUAAUGACGAUAGGGUCGGUUUAGUGGGGUUGUAUAGGGAUGUUAAAGACUCAGGGAUCAAAGCAAAUCGGGAGGUGGUAACUUGGUCCGAGGAAGGGGAGCCGAGUAUGGCGAAUAAGGAUUCAGUGACAAUGGGUGCGAUGGACACGAUUUCGUUAGUAGAGGGAGUUUUGUCAAUUGAGCAAGCGACGGGGUAUGUAUUGGUAGAGAAUUCAGUUUCAGCAAUUGUGAAAGAGCACGAGGCGACAAGCCCGACAACUAUGAUUGUGAACACAUACAAUUGGAGGUACUCUAAGUGCCUCAAAGGAAGGGACUUAGAAAAUGAAAAAGCUCUAGUGGUGUAGGUAGAUGGAGUCAAGAAAGGAGAAAUAGACAGUGAUGCAGGACAGGUGGAGGAAGUGAAGGGACAUAUCUAUGAUCGUUUGGAGUGUUGUCACGCAAAAAAUAUAGAAUCCACUCAUGGAGGGAGAAGUCCUUGCCGUAUCAGGUACUAAUCUAUUUUGAAGUUAGACCCCCCCACCUUGGAAUUAGGUUCUUCAAAAAAUUCAGGACUUCAGUAAGAUGGUUGGUGUGUCUUGUGAUGGAUAUGAAAGUAGACUCUUGUAAUUAUUUGAGGAACUGGAGGCUAGUAGGGGCAGGGAAUGAGUACACAAGGAGUUAAAUCAAGAAGAAGGGGUGAUUUUAACUUAAGUAACUCGAAUGGUCAGUAAACCAUGGCGUUAAGGGUAGUGACUCAAAGAAAGGAAUGUUAAGGAGGAUGAUGGAGUGCUAAAAUGAUCCUAAAAAUUAUUAACUGGAAUGUGAGAGGGCUUAAUGAAUAGGUGUUCGAAUCCUGUUAAGGGGAUGGAGAGCGGAUCUUGUCUGCCCACAAGAAACUAAGUCGGAGUUCCUCUCGAGGGCCGUGGUUAGUAACUUAUAGGGGACAUGAUGUAGGGUAUCAAUUUUUGGGGUCAUCAAGGGCUUUAGGAGGCAUGCUAAUCAUGUAGGACAUUAGAGUUUUCGAUAUGGAGGAGGUUAGUGUGGGGUUAUUCUUUGUAUCGCACUCAUUUAGAAAUAUUGGGGAUAGAUUCAAAUGGAUGUUUAUAGGAGUUUAUGGGCCUAACUAUGAUGAGAGUAGAGGGGGUUUGUGGGAUGAAUUGGCUGGUAUGAUAGCUUAGUGGAAUCUCCCAAUGUGUAUUGGGGGUGAUUUUAACAUGAUACGAUUUCCUUUUGACGAAUCUAACGACGGGAGACUAACGGGGGCUAUGAAGGACUUUUCAGAUUUUAUUUGGGAGAAUAUGUUGGUGGAUAUGCCAAUGAUUGGAGGAGAUUUUACUUGGUCAUCUAAUCGAGACCAUUAUGUUCUAUCUUAUAUAGAUCGAUUCUUGAUUAGUGGAGAGUGGGAGGCUAAGUACUCAGUUGUCGCGCAAAGGAGAUUAGGGAGAGUGUAUUCCGAUCAUUUCCUAUUCUUUUAUCUUGGAAUACAAGGGAUAGUGGAAGAAUGUCUUUUAGGUUUAAGAAGAUGUAGUUAAAAGUAAAAGGCUUUAGGGAGUGAGUAUGGACUUGGUGGGCUUCAUAUGAUGUCAAGGGAUCUCCCAGUUAUGCGUUAGAUUAGAAGUUGAAGGCUUUGAACGGGGAUUUAAAGAGGUGGAACGAGGAGGUGGUGAGCAAUGUAAACUGUUGUAAAAAUUAAAUGUCUUUCAGACAUGGAAGAGUUGUUUAGGCGGGAGGAGAGUCAAGGUUGGUUAGGGAAGAGGAGAGACGUGGAGUAUUAAGGGGAGAGUUGGAGAGGUUGGUGGAGAUAGAGGACAUUUCUUGGGGUCGCAUGGUUGAAAGAGGGGGACAAAUGCACCAAGUUUUUCCAUAGGGUCGCUUAUUCUAACGGGCGCAACAAUUCUAUCACAUUGUUGGAGGUAGAUGGGGUUACUUAUUAGGAUCCAAAGUAUAUCGGGACCCAAAUGGUGAGAUUUUAUCAGAAUCUUUAUUGAGAGCUGUUUGAGUGGAAGCCAGAGUUAGAGGGAUUGAAUUUUUCUACCAUCACGGAGGAGGAUGGUGGUUGGUUAAAGAGACCACUUGGGGAUGAUGAAAUUAAGGAGGUGGUAUUUAGUAUGAAUGAUGAUAAGGUAUCAGGAUCGGACGGUUUCUCGUUCUCAUUUUAUAAGGCGUGCUGGGAAGUGGUGCGACCAGACAUUAUGGAUGUUCUCACUUAUUUUUUUGAGUGUGGUAGGUUUUUGAAAAGUUUUAAUGUGACAUUUAUUGUGCUGAUUCCCAAGAAAUCAGGAGCAACUGAUAUUAAGGAUUUUUGCCCUAUUAGUUUAGUCAGUGAGUGUACAAGAUUAUUGCGAAAGUUCUGGCAAAUAGAUUAAAAGAAGUGCUAAGGAAAGUUGUCUAAGUUUCAGAAUGCUUUUGUGAAAGGGCACGAGAUUUUAGAUUCUGUACUUUUAUAGCGAAUGAAUGCAUUGACUCAAAUUGCUCUUGGGAGUUCUAGUGAUGCUAUGUAAGCUCGAUAUUUAGAAGGCUUAUGAUCACGUGAACUUGGGGUUCCUUUUGUACUUGCUUAGGUGAUGUGGCUUUGGGAUAAGUGGUGUAAGUGUUAUCAAUUUUAUAUCUCUACUAUAUUUUCAGUUUUGGUCAACGGUACUCUUGAAGGUUAUUUUAGGAGCAACAGGGGCUUAAGGAAAGGGGAUCCUUUGUUUCCAUUACUGUUUGUUAUUGUAAUGGAAGCUUUCAGUAGAAAGCAGGAGAAAGCUUUGAUGGAGGUUUGUUUGGGAAAGGUGAGCGAUGGCCCGAUCCUUUAAUGCAUCCUGCUGCUCCGCGGAGAAUUCCCCUCGCGGAUGGGGGAUCGAGGCUCGCUGUACGAUGCUAUCGAGUUCCCCCCUUAAGGGGCUUUACGGUUGGUCACGUGCAGGUGUCCCAUUUGUCAUUUACAGAUGAUACACUGAUCUUAUGGGAUGUAGAUGAUAAGUAAUUUAGGAACUUGCGCUGUUUGCUUCUAUGCUUUGAAGCGGUGUUUGGAUUGAAGAUAAAUCUGGCGAAAUUUGAGACUAUACCAGCAGAAGAGGUUGCUAAUGUAAAGGAGUUGGUUGAUAUAUUGGGUUGUAGGGUUGUGCAGUUGUCUAUGUCAUAUCUAGGGCUCUCUUUAGGGGUACGAUGUAAAAGUUUACAUAUUUGGAAUUGUAUUGUAGAAAGGGUGGAGAGGAGGUUAGCGGGGUGGAAACGUAUGUACCUAUCAAAGGGAGGUCGGUGUACUCUCAUUAAAUCUACUCUCUCUAAUCUUCCGUCUUAUUUUUUAUCAUUGUUUCCUAUUCCUAUUGUAGUAGCAAAUAGAUUAGAGAGGAUUUGAAGGGAAUUUCUUUGGGGAGGGUUGGGGGAGGAGAGGAAAGUUUAUUUGGUUAAUUAGGAUGAUGUUUGCUCUCCUAUGACGAUGGGGGUCUUGGAUUUAGGAGCCUUGUUUUGUUUAAUAAGGCUUUAUUGGGCAAGUGGUUGUGGCGAUUUGGAAUGGAAAUGGAGUGUUUUUGGAGAGAAAUCAUAGGGGCGAAGUAUGGUGUGACGGAGGGGGGUUGGUACUCGGUUAAGGUUCGUGGUUCUUAUGGGGUGAGUUUGUUGAGGUAUACUUGACGAUGGAGUGACCUCCAGGAUAGAUUGAUUUUUGCGGUGGGGAAUGGUAAUAAUAUUAGAUUUUGAGAUGAUUGUUGGUGUGGAGAUCAACCGCCAAAAUUGGGGUUUCCUUGCAUCACAUUGCCCUUGGGCCUUCUGCUACGGUGAAUUAUGUAUUAAGACAUUCACAAUAGGAGUUAUAGUUGGAAUAUUACUUGGUUUACAAGAUUGAGAAUUUGAUGAUUAUGUGCUGUUCUCCUUACAUGAAGUGGAAAUUCGAGUAGGAGGGUGAUCAUAGCAAGUGGAGGUUGGCACAUGAUGAUAUUUUUUCAGUUUGCACUUAUUUUAGAUCCCUUUUGGGACCUGUUUGAGAGUUCAUUCCCCUGGUAAAAGGUUUGGCAAUGUAAAUUGUCUCAAUGGGUGGCAAUUUAAACAACUUGUUCAUUCAUUGUGAUAGUGUUCGUUGGUUGUGGAAUAGUAUUCUAGCGUCUCAAUAUAUAGAUUGAGUGUUGCCUAGGCGCAUAGAAGAUGUGUUGCAUGCAUGGAGGAGAAAAUUUCGUGAUAAGGAUAGCAAGUUUGUAAGGGAUCUUAUCCCGCAAUGCAUUGUAUGGUGUGUGCGGAGAGAAAGGAACAGUCGCUAUUUAGAAGAUCAAACAUGGACGACAGAGCAAAUCAAAGGAUUGUAUUAUCUGACUUUGUAUACUUGGUUUAAUGCCGCAACUUCUAAUCUUAUAGAAGGACUACCUAAUUUCUUACUGUUUCUUUCUUGUUUAAAUUGAUAAUGCACUUCCUGUGUAUCUUCUUUUGAUUAAUAAAAUUACCUGAUUACCUAUAAAAAAAAGUGUUAUGAACUAUGUGUCUAAUUAAGGAAUAAACAUGAUGUAUGGUAGGAAUAUAAAGUCUUGAAUUAUUUUCUUGUUAGAGAGGAUUAUUUCCUUUUGAGAAAUAACCUCUUCAUGUAUAUAUAUUUGGUGAAUAGUUCCAAAUCAAUUAACAUGGUAUCAGAGCUAGGUUCUCAAAAUUAGGGCUUGCGAGUUUAAGAAAAUUUGUGGAAUUGUUCUCGGUGGUGGCUUUUUUCUGAGUCGGUGCUUUCUGUGUUGGAUCGACACUUAUCGGAGGUAAUUGUUGGUGGUUGAAGAUCAGGAGAGCCUUCUGUAGCAGCGGAAAUUGGGUUGCAUCGACUGUUCAUUGUCUUUUUGUGAUUUUGACUCUGUUUCUUUCCGGCUCCACGACAGACAACCCUGUUGACGUUGCGUGUAGCGGGUGUUGGGUGAGAGAUCGUCGUUUUCUCUUGACUUCUCUGGCUUUAUCGUUUCCUCUUCUCCUUUCGGUGGGUGAGUCGUCGUGUGCAGCAAUCUUCUGUGGCACCUACUAUAAACCAUCACUUAUCGUCUCCAUCUGCUGCUUCACCUCAGGAUUCGUCACCCUCUCUUGAUCCCAGUCUUGAUCUUCCCAUUACCCUUCAAAAAGGUAAACGAUCACGUACUUAUCCUGUUUCUUCUUUUGUUUCUUACCAUGUAUUGUCACAGUCUUCCAAGUCCUGUAUUGCCUCUUUAGAGUGCGUGUCAUUACCAUAAUCUAUGGUUGAGGCUUUGUCCCAUAGUGGCUGGCGAGCGGCCAUGCAGGAAGAAAUGAUGGCCCUGGAACAUAAUCAUACCUGAGAGUUGGUUCAUUUACCCCUUAAUAAAAAGGCAAUCGGAUGUAAAUGAGUGUUUACAGUCAAGAUGAACCCUGAUGGAUCUGUUGCUCGAUUGAAGGCUCGUUUGGUUGCUAAGAGGUAUGCUCAGACUUAUGGUGUGGACUACUCUGAGACUUUCUCUCCAAUUGCUAAGCUGGCUUCUGUUCGGUUAUUCAUUUCUCUUGCUGCUACUUUUCAUUGGCCACUUCACCAACUAGAUGUUAAAAAUGCAUUCCUUCAUGGUGAUUUACAAGAAGAAGUUUACAUAGAGCAACCACCCGGGUUUGUUGCUCAGGGGGAGUCCAGUAAGGUCUGCAAACUGUGAAAGUCAUUGUAUGGACUGAAACAAUCACCACGUGCUUGGUUUAGGAGAUUUAGUGAGGUGGUUAUUGAAGUUGGCUUGCAAAGAAGUGUAUAUGAUCAUUCAGUAUUCUUUAGACAGUCUAUAGUUGGGUGUAUUUUGUUAGUGGUAUAUGUUGAUGAUAUUGUGAUUACUGGGAGUGAUAGUAGUGGCAUAAGUAUGUUGAAAGCUUUCCUAGGCACAAGUUUCAGACAAAAGAGUUAGGUCCCUUAAAAUAUUUCUUAGGAAUAGAGGUCUCUCGAAGUGGUAAAGGAAUUUGUUUGUCUCAAAGAAAAUAUGUUCUAGACCUACUAGAUGAGACAGGUUUAAUGGAAGUAAAACCAGUUGAUGCUCCCAUGAUAUCAAAUGUGAAACUUGGGCCUGAAGAUGGAGAUGUAUUUGUGGAUGCAGAGAAACACAAGAGAGUGGUGGGAAAAUUGAACUAUCUCACGAUUACUCGUCCAGAUAUUGCCUUUUCAGUUAGUGUUAUUAGUCAAUUUAUGUCAUCUCCCAGAACUUCAUAUUGGGAUGCUGUAAUUCUUAUAUUGAAAUAGUUUAAAGGAGCUCCAAGGCAUGGAAUUCUUUAUAGAGACCAUGGUCAUUGUAGAGUUGAGGGUUUUUCAGAUGCAGACUGGGCAGAUUAUCCUGUUGAUAGGCGUUUUACUACAGGGUAUUGUGUAUUCGUUGGAGGUAAUCUGGUCUCUUGGAAGAGUAAGAAAUAAAGUGUUGUAGCUCGAUCAAGUGCAGAAUCUGAAUACCGAGCUAUGGCACAGGUAACUUGUGAACUUAUGUGGCUACAUUACUUACUUGGGGAGAUUGGCAUCGAUAAGUCCUACUCUAUGAACUUGUGGUGUGAUAAUCAAGCUGCUAUUCUCAUUGCUACAAAUCCGGUAUUUCAUGAGAGAACAAAGCACAUAGAGGCAGUCUGCCAUUUUGUUUGUGAAAAGGUUAUAGCAAAUUUCGACCAAGCAUGUUAGGGUAGGAGAUCAAUUAGUCGAUAUGUUUACUAAAGCGUUAACUGAGACUCGAGUAAACUAUAUUUGUAACAAGUUGGGCAUGAUUGAUAUUUAUACUCCAGCUUGAGGGGGGGUGUUAUGAAUUUUGUGUCUAAUUUAGGAAUAAAUGUGAUGUAUGAUAGGAAUAGAAAGUCUAGAACUAUUUCUUUGUUACAAAGGAUUAUUUCCUUUUGAGAAAUAACCUCUUCAUGUAUAUAUAUUUGGUGAAUAGUAAUGAGAAACGAAGGUUUUUUCCAAAUCAAUUAACAAAAAGUAAAAUGUCCAAACAUGAUUGGAAACAAAGAGUUCAGAAACAUGUUAUUUUCUUCAGUAAAUACCGACAUCUAUCAAAUAUCACUUACUCUUUGGAGAUGUCAUUUCUUCUGUGGGGGAAGAGGAAUUGAGGGUUGUGCUGUUUGUUCAGAACCUUCGAUGGUUAUGUAAGGUUCUUGAUAAGGGAGGCUACAUAGUUGAGAGGAAUUAGUACCUUUGGAUCCUCAAAGCUUGAUGAUUCAAUGAGCCCUGGGAUUGGCUCAGUUUCAAUGCUUUGAGUGUAUAGGAUAUGACAGGAAAAAUCAAAAGAUUUUGGAUAGUGAAGUACCCUAGGGGGUCAGUUGUGAAUGAACUAGGAGGAUGCUAACGGAAGUCAAGCAGCACGAGUAGGGUUUGAUUCCGCGGUGGAUGGUAUGGUCAUAGUGAACUGAGGAAAGGAUGGAUUCUGAAAAGUUUUACUAGCUGGGCUUGUAAAUAGCAGGGAGCUUAACUGGAAAAAAUGUUCAGUAAUUCAGUGCUGGAAUUCAUGAAAGAAUGUGGAGAGAAGGGGAACGUUUCUGGUUUGAUGUAGAGAAGUAGAUUGGAAGAAUUCAGUAGUUUCAAACUGACAUAGAUCAAAUCAGAUGUCUUCAUCAACCAUGGGAAGUACAGCUCUUGCAGCAUAGUAAUAUUGAAGAAUAAAAUUCUGGGGCAAUGCCUGGUCUUAUCCCAAGCAAUCAUGGAUCAAAGGUGUCAAAUGAACUUCGACUUGAGUUUGUGAGGACCUGCCUAAAUUAUCUGCCUAACCACUUGAUGAAAAAGUUUAAGUUGUUAGAGAUGGUCACAUAUAUAUCAUUUAAAUAUUUUCUUCAAUGCGCCCUCUCAGGUGCUGGCGGGAUUUAUUUUUUUCAUCAAAGCCUAACACGUGCACAAUCUCACUAAAUGCAUGGUGGCUAGACUUGAAAUUAGGACCUGUACUUUGAUAUUAUACCAUGGGGAACCAUUUGAUUUAAAAGCUUAAACUGUUGAAGAGGGCCAUGUGAAUAUCAUUUAAAUCUUGUUUUGAACAUAACCUAAUAGCAAUCUGACCAUAAAUUGAUACAAUUUAGACACGUGCCACGAGAAUAACCAAAUGUCAACAAGUAUGGGAAUUACUGAAAUGCCUUAGACUAAGCAAAGAACUAACAUCUUAGACAAUGCCAAGACACGAUAUGCCACAGUGAAUGCUUCUAGAUGGACUUAGGAGGAUUAUUAUUCUGCAGGAGUAACUGUUAAUUGUGAUGGAUAGACAGCUGAUUUUUUAGGUUUCUGGUAGACCACUGAAUCAUUAGAUUCUGUAAAUUUGUAAUUGUUCUUCACCAACUUUGAUGCUUCAUUAAUAAGGUUAUUCUUUCCUUUGUGAACAAUGAGGAUUACUAAUUUUAUGUCUUGGGAUCUUCCACAAUGAUAUAACUUACUUAUGAACUCUCUCAGCAUUUAAACCAUAAGAUUUCUUCUUUUCCUUUUUAUAUGUUUACUUAAUCUGACUUCUUUCAAUUUCGUUUCAUGAUUAUUGUGGCCUUUUAUUCUGCAUAUUGGAUAGAUGAUGAAUGCUGCUCCUGAAUAAUCUUGACAGUAAUAAGUAGGUUAUCUGACUGGCUUGUGUGCAUGCAAAGUAACAAGGGUAAUUUUGGUGAGCAGUGAUAUGCACUUCAAAAGUCUGUUGGUUUUUGAGUUUUUGGUCUAGAGCUUUAUGAUUCUGGAGAAGUUCCUUCGGGCAUUUUUAUAUUGCAAUGGUUCUAGGAGUAUUUUUGUAUGGGGAGACAGGUUGGACACGCAUAGUUAGGGAUUGAUGAUGCUAUUUACAGUUGAUGUUUUCAGUCUUCACUUUGUACAAUUGUUAAGGAUUUAUGGUUUUAGAUAUGUUGGAUUUUAUGCGCAAUAUUAAAGAGAUGAAAAAGAUAAUCAACACAAGAAUUUACGUGGUUCGGCGGUGUGCCUACGUCCACAAGAGCGAAGCGAAGAUUUCUUUAUUCAGUAGUGAAAAAUAGGGUUACAACAUAUUAUUUAUUCCGUUCCGUUAGAUGCGCUCAGCUCCUCUCACUCCACUCCGCUCCGCGCCGGCAUCGGCCCAUUUGAUCCAAUAUCUGUGUUCCACUCUAUAUGAACUACAUGCACAACAAGAUACUAGUAUGGUGGGUAAGAUCAAUUUAUAGCUCCUUAGAAUGAGAAUUCAAAGGUGAAAAUUGUGGAACCAAGUUGCCCUAUGCAAUGCCUCUAUCUUCUUUUGCUUGAUUUUUACCUCCAACCUUUCACUAAUAAGCAAGAAUUAUCCUUUGGACGAUUUCAAUUCAUUCCAGAGAGGCUAUGCUGUAUACUAGAGUAAAGAGUAAAAAAGAAACCUCAAUUUACUUUUAGAUAGUUCCUUCUGGCCUCAAAGUAAAACACUCUCUAAGAUUUCGUACUCAGGCAAGUUUGUUGGUCUGUGUGAAAACCAGCAUGCAGUUCAAUGAUUACCAUUUUUCUUAGGGUUUAAAGUUAUUUUAAUACUUAGGUUCUUUUUGUUAGCCAUAUAUAAUUGCAUGUAUUUUGGGAUUUGAUUGUAAUUUAUAUUAGGUUAAUAGGCUAAUUAGUUCUUACCAUAGUUAGAAAACUUACCAUAAUUGUUGUAAAUCUUAUCUUUAUAAGAGAGGUACUCCCUCGAUGGAAGGGAUAAUUUUUGAACAAUUCAAACCAUUUUAACAUGGUAUCAAAGCCCUCCCUUUAGAAUUUCCCUUCGAGUCUCGAUUUACUUUUGGUGCGCUUCAAUUGAGGAAUUUUUCUUGGGGUGUCGGCAAUUUUUUGUUCAUGAAAUUUCUCUGGAGCAAGCUUCUUGGUCAGCAAAAUCGGCAAUUGGAGUUGUCUUCUUGGUCGAUAGAUCCCACUAUUGGAUUUUCUUGGUGGUGGCUUGUUGAUUUGUGAUUGUGCAGGGAAUUUUUUUAGCUUUCCUCUUCUCGGGCUCCACAUGGUAUAUCUUCUGUGUCAAAUAAAUUCUGCCGACGAUUGCGUCUCGGGUUCUCGCCGUUCGCUGUUCGAAUUUUGUUUGACAGAUUCUUGGAUUGCGUCUUCGCAUAGGGCGUCGUCUACAGGAAGUCGUCGUUUUUUCUCUACUGGACACAGACAGACGAGUGAGCAGGUAAUCUUUUGGGUUUCAGAAUUCGGGCUGUGCAUAUUGGGCUUGGGCUUGAAUCCUUUUAAUAUCAUUUUGGAUUUAUCUCUUAAAAUUUAGACCGUUAAUCUUGGAUUUGUUUUGGACAUUUUCUUCGGAUUGGGCUUGAGAUUAUUUAGUUGGACUUGAUAUUUUAUUGGACUUGUAUCUUUGCAUUUCUUCAUGUCUGGAGAAAAUUCAAUUAUUCGUUUUAAUGGAAAAAAUUACUCGAGUUGGGAAUUUCAGUUCCGGAUGUUUGUGAAAGGGAAAGAAUUAUAGGGUCAUUUGGACGGCUCUUCUAAGGCUCCGACCGAUAUCAGAGAACUUAGCUCAUGGGAAAGUAAGGACGCCAAGAAUAAGUUCUGUUGAACCACACAUGGUCAACAAUCUUCGUUCGUUCACUACUGCUAAAGAAAUGUGGGAUUAUCUCAGGCGUGUUUACUAUCAAGAUAACUCUGCCCAGAAGUUCCAAUUGGAGUUAGAAAUUGCUAACUAUAAAUAGGGUAAUCUCUCUAUUGACCAAUUUUAUGCUGGAUUUCUUAAUUUAUGGAGUGAAUAUUCUGGAAUAGUUUAUUCCAAAAUUCCCAAGGAAGCUUUAGCUGCUCUUCAAGUUAUCCAUGCUGAAAGUCAAAGAGAUCAAUUUUUUACGAAGUUGAGACCUGAACUUGAGACUGCAGGGCCUGGCUUACUGAACCGUACUCCUGUUCCCUCUUUGGACGUAUGUUUGGGAGAACUAUUAUGUGAAGAAGAAUGUCUUGCCACUCAACUCGGCAUAACCGAAGAAUCAAUGACUACUGAGAUGGUUAAUGUGGCGUACGCUGCUCAAGGAAAAGGAAAAAUGAAGACCCAGAUACAAUGCUACAGUUGCAAGGAGUUUGGGCAUAUUGCGAAGAACUGCAAUAAGAAAUUCUGUAAUUAUUGCAAAAAGGAUGGACACAUCAUUAAAGAUUGUCGCUUACGACCUCAGAAUAGGCAAGGCUCAACUUUUCACAACGCAAUCCAGUCUAACUCAGCUGUUUUGUCCUUUGCUUCCACUCCUACUGUUUCUUCGUCUACUCUUACACCUGAAAUUGUUCAAUAGAUGAUUGUUUCUGCUUUUUCUGCUCUUGGUCAUCAAGGUAAGAAAAAUCUACUUGUCUCUCCUUGGUUGGUCGAUUCUGCAGCCUCAAAUCAUAUGACAAGUAAUACAGAGGCUCUGAUUAAUAUUCGUAAGUAUAAAGGUGAUCAACAUAUUCAAACUGCCAAUGGGAGUACUCUUCCUAUUACAGCAAUUGGAAAUUUGGGAUCUUCUUUCACUAAUGUAUUUGUGUCACCAGAAUUAUCUACGAAUUUAAUUUCUGUUGGACAAUUGGUUGAUGAUAAUUGUGAAAUCCGUUUUAAUCAGAAUGGUGGUUGUGUGCAGGAUCAAGCGUCGGGGAAAGUGAUCGCGAAGGGCCUAAAGUGGGACGUUUAUUUCCUCUUCAAUUUUCCAUUUCUGAUUCAUUUGCUUGUACUGCUAUUAUUAAUAGUAAUGUUUGGCAUAAGAAAUUGGGACAUCCUAAUUCUAAUGUUUUGAUUCAUCUCUUAAAGAAUGGUUAUUUGGGCAAUAAAAAUUCAUCUUCUCAUGUGUCUUCUGAUUGCAAUUCUUGUAAACUUGGUAAAAGCAAAUCCUUACCUUUUCCUUCACAUGGUAGUCGUGCUUCCACAUGUUUUGAGAUUAUCGUAAGUCCCGUACUUUCGCAUGCUCAAUAUAAGUAUUUCGUAAUAUUUAUUGAUGAUUAUAGUCAUUUCACUUAGGUCUAUUUCCUUCGAGCUAAAACUGAUGUGUUCUCCAUCUUUCAAAACUUUGUUGCUUUUGUUGAGACCCAAUUUUCUACUAGCAUUAAGAUACUUCGUUGUGACUCUGGAGGGGGAAUACAUGUCCAACAAUUUCCAAGAAUAUCUAAAAACAAAAAGGGAUUCUCUCCCAACGAUCUUGACCUUACACUCCCCAAUAGAACGGGGUUGCGGAGCGUAAAAAAUGUCACUUUUAAGAUGUUGUUCGUACUUUAUUAAUUAAAUCUUCAGUACCCUCUAGAUUUUGGGUCGAAACUUUAUCGACAGAUGUCUAUUUGAUUAAUCGUCUUCCCUCUCCAAAUUUACAAUUUGACUCUCCGUAUUCUCGAUUAUUUAAUGUAGCACCUGAGUAUGAUUCACUUCAUAUAUUUGUCUAUGUUUGUUUUAUCCACUUACCUUCUACUGAAUAUCACAAACUUACAGCUCAGGCUGCUCGAUGUGCAUUCCUCGGGUAUAGUAAUGCACACAAAGGGUAUGUGUGUUAUGAUGUGGAUGCUAACAAAAUUCGUAUCUCUCGAAAUGUGGUUUUCUUUAACAACGAAUAUUUCUUCCAGUCUCGUGUUGUUCAUGAUUCUGCCUCUAUUUAGCUUCCUACGUUUGAUGAUAUAUCUUGUAAUGUUGAGCGCUUUAAGGCGGGAUUUGUAUACUAGAGAAGUCCCCUCCUGCCACCUUCGGACACUGAACCGUCGCCUGAUCCCAUCAUCCCUGAACCUCGAUGAUCUUCUUGGGUCUCACGCCCUCCAGAUAAGUAUGGUUUCUCGCAUAUUGCUAAUCAAGCUACCCUUGAUACUACUUCUGUGCCCAAAUUUUACUCUCAAGCUUCUAUUCAUGCAUUUUGGUGGAAAGCUAUGCAGGAAGAACUUCAGGCACUUUAGGAUAAUCAUACUUGGGAUAUUGUUCCAUAUCCUGAUGGGGUAAAACUUCUUGGAUGCAAAUGGGUAUAUACGAUUAAACUUCGGCCUGAUGGUACUAUAGAGAGAGAUAAAGCCCGAUUGGUGGCUCUUGGGAACUAUAAGGUGUAUGGUCUUGAUUAUGAGGAGACCUUCGCCCCUGUCGCAAAGAUGACUACUGUGAGGACUAUUAUGGCUAUAGCCGCUUCUAGAGAAUGGUCUCUCAAGCAGAUGGAUGUGAAAAAUGCAUUCUUACAUGGUGAUUUGAAGGAGGAAGUAUAUAUGAGUCCUCCUCCUGGUAUGUUCUCUCACUCUUCUACUGAGGUUUGUCGGUUGAGGCACUCUUUAUAUAGAUUGAAACGGGCACCAUGCGCUUGGUUUGAGAAGUUCCGUACCACUUUACUUGAUUUUCAUUUCACUCAAAGUCAGUCUGAUUCCUCCCUAUUUCUUAAACGCACUAUUGAUGGACUUGUUGUGCUUUUGGUAUAUGUGGAUGAUAUUGUGAUCACAGGAUCUGACACUCAGUCGAUUGUGCAACUUCAGCAGCAUCUUAACACCACCUUUCAUAUGAAAGAUCUUAGUUCUCUACAGUAUUUUCUCGGUUUUCAGGUGCAUUCCUAUCCUCAUGGUCUACUUAUACAUCAACACAAGUAUACCCAAGAGAUUCUCACCUCAGCUGGCCUUCAAUCUGGGAAUUCCGUGCUUACUCCACUAGAAGUUAAUUUCAAGCUCAGCCAAGAUGGAGGAGAACUCUUACCUGAUCCAUCCUUAUACCGACAGCUUGUAUGAAGUUUGAACUAUUUGACAAUUACUCGACCCGAUAUUUCUUUUGCUGUACAACAAGUCAGUCAGUUUAUGCAGGCUCCACGACAACCUCAUUUAGCAACCGUACGAAGAAUUCUUAGUUACCUCAAGGGUACAUCUGGUCGAGGGUUGUUUUUCCCUAUAGGGAAUUCUUUGCAAUUAAAGGGUUAUAGUGACGCUGAUUGGGUUGGUUGUGUGGACACUCGACGUUCAGUUACUGGUUGGUGCAUGUUUCUUGGUGAUGCACUUAUAUCUUGGAAGAGUAAGAAGCAGGAUCGUGUCUCGAAGUCCUCUACUGAGUAUCGUGCUAUGUCAUCCGCCUGCUCAGAAAUUGUGUGGCUUCGGGGUUUGUUAGGAGAACUUGGAAUCCCUUAGCUUGCUUCUACUCCGCUUUAUGCUCAUAACACCAGUGCUAUUCAGAUUGCCGCAAAUCUUGUAUUUCAUGAACGCACCAAGUAUAUUGAAGUAGAUUGCCAUUCUAUCCGUGAAGCCCUUGAUCAACAUGUGAUUACACUUCUUCACAUCUCCACGGAACAUCAAACUACAGAUGUUUUUACCAAGGCCCCUAUCUCGCCAAUGUCAUCAGUUCAUGAUUGACAAACUGAUGCUUUUUGAUCGACCAGUAUCAAUUUGAGGGGGGAUGUUAGCCAUAUAUAAUUGCAUGUAUUAUGGGAUUUUAUUGUAAUUUAUAUUAGGUUAAUAGGCUAAUUAGUUCUUACCAUAGUUAGAAAACUUACCAUAAUUGCUGUAAAUCUUAUCUUUAUAAUAGAGGUACUCCUCGAUGGAAGGGACAAUUUUUGAACAAUUCAAACCAUUUUAUCACUUGUUUCAAUCAAAAUGACUAGACAAUGUUCUAACUUUGUUGUUCACAGAUUUUUACAUCUCUAUUUGAUUCUAUUCAUUGGUCUGCAGUACAUUACAAACUAGCUCCAUUGGCAUCCUAGUUUCCUUGUAAUUGGAUGUGAAAUUUUUAAAUUAUUUUUUCCAGAGUUGUGGGGGUCCUAAUGCUCAUGGGAUGAAAAGUGCCAGUGGUAAAAUGGCAAAACAAGCUGCAUUGGCUUUUGUCAAGCGGACAUUGGAACGAUGUCGGGAAUUUGAUGUAACUGGAAAGAGCUGCUUUGGUGAGCCUUUGUAUAAAGAAAUUUUCCUUUCUGGAGUUGCACACCUCGGUGACAUACAAGCAGUGAAUUCAAGUGCUGAUAAUGAAUCUGGAAAGCAGCAGUUUAACACAUCUGGAUGUUCUAUUGAAGUUAGAACUUCAGGUUGGUCCCAUUGAUAGAUACCUGAAUGCUUAUCAACAUUUUAGUAUCUUUAAAUAAGUCUUACAUUUGCAGGUUUUCUGCAUUCUAAUUUAACUAGCACUACUUAGAAUAGAAACUAAUACAUAUCUCUGGCUAAAUCUGAUGGGACCAUCAGAUAUGUAUAUCCAUAAGCCCUGUGGAUGAGGUUUAUGUAUGAAACACGGUUCUCACGUUCUCAACCCUUGACAACAUGCAUUUGUGACUAAAUUUUUAUGAAAAUUAGCAUGAUAAGAUUUACUUUACUCUGAAGAUUGAAUGAUUUUCUUGCAAAAGAUUGUGGGCAAAAUAAAAUAAUGUGACAAAAACAUUUUUCCUGAUUAGUCUUUAAGACAUGCUUCUAGCUGUAAUGUGAAAUGUUUGAAGUUAAAAGGAUCCGAGUAGGUAGGUUAAUUUAGGCACAGUAUUGUAUACAUAGGGCAUUAAUGGUAUAAAAGACUUGUUUGACAAGCCUCUAGCUAUUUUUUCUUAUGUUAUGAUGGUACUUUUUUUGUCCAUUAUCUUAGUAUUGGAGGUGUUUUUUGUUUUGCAGCUCCCUUGGGAGCACAGCACAGCCCAUCUUCAAACAAUCAAGAAAUUUAUUCUUCUGGAGCUCCCAAAUCGGCAAAUCUAGGUUCUGAACAAACUACUGGCAAAGACAACAUCUGGUCGAAUAGGGCGAAGAAGUGCGAGUUACCGCCUGAUGAAACUGUUGGUGGUACACUUAGCUCAUCCACCAAUGUCUCAUCAGGCAUUGGAAGUUCUAUUUUGAGCAGCGCAAAAGGGAAAAGGAGUGAGAGAGAAGGAAAGGGAAAUAGCAGAGAGGCGCUAUCCAGAAGUGGAAGCACUAAAGUUGUUCGGGCUGCACUGGCCAAUGUCAAGGGAGAGAGAAAGCCUAAAGCAAAACCUAGACAGAAAACAGGUCAACUCACUGCUUCUGUCAAUGGCCCUCUUGGAAAGAUGUCUGAGCGGCGAAAAACAACAUUGCUUUCUGCACCCAUAUCAAAUGAGAGGAGUGGAAGUGGCACUGACAAUGAUAAAAAUGACGAUAAUGUAGACCUCUUGGAGGAACCCAUAGAUUUGUCUGGCUUGCAACUUCCUGGAAUGGGCGAUCUAGCUGUACAUGAUGAUCUUGCUGGUCAAGGAGAGGAUCUAGGGUCUUGGUUGAACAACAUUGAGGACGAUGUAUUGCAAGAUCAUGACUAUAUGGGUGGGCUUGAAAUUCCUAUGGAUGAUCUAGCAGACUUGAAUAUGAUGGUUUGACCUUUCAAUCUUUGUAUAUUCCUGUCUAUUAUACAAUCACAGGUGAAAAAUCGUUGUUCGUGGAAGACCAGUUACAAGGAUGUCAUGUGACUCAGUCCUGGCUGUGAGUGGGCCAUAUAUUCUUUUGGUUACUCCCUACACAAGUUGAGGUUUGAGUGAACCUCUGAGACGCUUGAAUGUUUUUCCUGUUCAAGUUGACACCUUGACUGUAAAGAUCAUUUUGUUUGACGUUAGUAUCUUAAUGAUAAGGUCUUAGAAAACCUAUAUUUUGGUUGUAGCAAUUACAUAUCAGAGAGCAAUGUCUUUGUACAUAAAAUUUAUAUUUUCAAUAAGUUACCAUUUUGUUUAUUUUGCAAUAUGGAGUAGGUGUUGUGAGAUGUUUUGACUUGUGUGUAUUAUGAGCUUCUAUUUCAGAUUUGAUUAAGUUGAUAACCUUAAAAGGUCGACUCCUUAUCUAUUGAAGUUACAGUUGCCCUAACUAUUUUGAGUGUGUAUGAUGCAGAAAGCCCUCAUUGUUCCCAUUGACAUCUGAGAUUCCUCGUUGAAUACGAAGGUAUUAACAGUGUAAGCUAAGAGGUGGUGCAUGUGCCGGAUUAUGGUCAAGUGGAUGAACUGUUUUAUUGGGGAUGCAAUCUACUGCAGACCAUAUAUCCUAUUUAAUCCCCAGGUUGACUUCCUUCAAAGUAUGCAUAAUUAACAUCCAGGACUUUCUCCGUGAUUGUUUAGUUAAAUGCUACUUAUAACUGGAGAGGAGCUACAAACUUGACUCCAGUAUAUAUAGGGUUUGCCAAUAUGUUGGUUAUCAAUUACUGAAUUGUAUGCUGUUGUGCUACUAAUGCAGCAUUUGUGAAGAAGUUCCGAGGCUUAUUUAAGAACUAGCUGCUUUUGAUUUUCCAAAAGUCACGUGCUCUUCACUAAUUUCCUCAUAUUGUCAUAGGAUAAUUAUAUAUUAUUCAUUUUAUUUCAUUUUUGUAUUAUAAAGUUUGUUUCAUUGACUAUGCAUCACUUAGUAUUGCAUAAUAUGUCCUCGAGAAAUUUCCUCUAAAUCAAGGAAAUAUUAUGAUUAUCUUGCUCCAGGGGUGAGAGAUUAUGUGGCUGUCUUUAUUUUCGUUGGAGUUACCCUACAGACUCUUGGAGGCUGAAUGCAUUUCUUGACUACAGUUAUUUGAAAACAGCAUGCCUUGGCAGCAAGUAUUUGAUGGCCCAAUAUUUUGGACACACUUCCUGUGCCAUCUGUCUUGGGAAAAUUUAUUCCUGCUGCUGUUCGAAGCAGCCCAAAAUAUAUUCUGUCACAGAUUCUCACUCCAGAUAUGUGGUAAAUCAUUGUUUUUACCUGUUUGAUUUUGAAGAUUUAUUUAUCUGAAUUUUAGCAAUUAGUUUUGCUAAAUUACAGGGGUAACAUCCUUCUGAAUAUUGUGGGUUUCAAUUUUUCUGAAGGUGUUUUUUCCAAUAAAAAUAUUUUUAAACACUGCAGACUAUUACAUGAAUACAAAACUUCUGUGCCAAUGAUGCAGUCAAAGUAAGUCCACUUAUGAUGCCCUAUGUUGCCUGCUACUCACAGUAAAUAUUUUUGUAUGAGGAUGUGGAGAAGUGAAUCCUUUUGUUCUGGUAUGUGGAUUUUUAUUAUUUAUAUCUGUCCAUCACACUUCACAAGUAGGAACAGUAUUCCUACCAAAUGAUAAAAGUUACAAAUCUCUGAGUCUCACAGCUUAAUGUUUAUUUCAUUCAGACAGGAACUCCUCUCCAAGUGGCAGCACUUGUACAAUUGAUUGUGCAGAAUAUGCUACCAGAAAUUACCUCUUCAUGUAAGGUAUUCGUAGUCAAUUUGUUUGAAGCAUUUUACUAAGUUCUUAUGUCAUUUUCAAAUAUCUAAACCUUUCACUGAUAGUACAAGCUAAAGAAUUAAAAAUCUGAAAAUAAAUCUAUCACAUUCGAAAAAUGUUGUGCUAAUAAAAAGGUCAGCGUUAAACAAAAUGUGGACGAAAUGAAAAUGCUUAUAUGAUUGUUGAUACUGCAAUGGAGGAUAAUAUGGAAGAGCCGUAUGAUUUCAGAACUUGUUCAGAUGUGAUGUAAUGCUAUCUGUAAAGUUGUGUGCAAGGCUUUAUUAGAUGUUUUAUUUUUAUUUAAUUGUUUUAUUUUUACUAAUUAAGGUCUAAUUUAUAUUUUUAAUUAUCUAGGGUUGAAUUUAUAUUUCAUUAGGAGUUUAGGAAGUAUGAAUGCAAUUUUAAUUAGGUUUGCUCUAGGUAUUAGAGCCACAACUGUAUUUCAGGGACAUUUUGAUUGAUUGACAAAUUAUAUUAAUAUAAAUGUGAGUUUUUUCUUCAAUACUGAACCAAAUCAAGGUUUUCGCUUGUUAUUGUUCUUGCUCACUUCUAUCUGCAUCAAGAUGGCCUGCACCAAUUUGUAGAAUAUCACUUGAUACAUUAGGUUAUCCCAGGGAAACAAAUUAUUCCAGAAAUUUGGCAAAAAGUGACAACAUUGAGUAUUUACAAGUGAAGUUUGGCCAAGGAGUGCACCAAGAGAUAACAUUUGACAGAAUAAAUAAGACAAAUUGCAUCCUCUAUCCCCAAACUAUACCCCAUUUGCAGUUUUAUCCCCAACAAUUUUUCUUGGCACUGAGCACCUCAACUUUGUUUCCAUCCAAAAUGGUUGUUAAGUUGGCAACGAAAGGCAUUCACACUUAAAACUCAAAUAAACAAAAAAAUAAAUACAAGGAAGGAAGGAGGAAGAAGAAAAGAGAAAAAAAAAAAAAAAAAAAGAAGAAGAAGAAGAAAAAAAGGAAAACAAACACCUUCUUUCUCAAUCCUCUGCAGCACCCACCGCCACCAAUGCUACCUCUUCGCGUGCAAAUGUGAGUAUAGGGUGGGGCUGCGAGUGUAAUUAAUGUGGAAAAAAAUUAGAAAAAGGCAAGAGCUUGUUUUGUAGGUAAAAUGUGGAUGAAUAACAAAAUCAUAAUAUAUUGACAAUCAGUUGCAGUAAACCUCUGUUACCUUGGUUUAUCUGAGUUGCGCAACCAUUGUCGUCUAUAUAGUCCUUUUGAGAACAAUUGUUCAAUAACUUAUAUUCCUGGCAUUCAUGUAGAAGGAACUGCAGAUAUGCACCUUGGAAAGCAAAAUACUUCUAGCAAUCACUAUCUUGAUAUUGUCAAAGCCAUGCUCUUGGUGAUCUGUUUGGGGCUUUCAAUAUAUAUGCUGGGCUUUUUGACUGAAAACUGGGAUGGAUCGUGGUCAUGAGUACUUUACUUUGUUAGCAUUAUGGGAAUAUGAAGGCGGAUGGUUUCCUCGUGCUGCAUUAUUAUUGCAAGUUUAAUGAAAGGGUUUGUUGGGUGCAGUUACCCCCACUGGAGUUUGAGGGAAGGUCUUUGAGAUGGAAAAGAAAUAGUGAGAUGUCAUGUAAAUUGUAAUUCUGACGAAUCAAUGUGAAAAAACUUGUUCUUUUUGUUACGUAUUGUCAUAAUUAGCCAACCUACUUGGGCCUAUGGCCCACUCAAUCCGAACCAUGUGGCGCUCUAACCGAGGUGGCACGUAUGGCCGAGGCCCUUCAUGUCGAGACCCAUAUACCGAGGCCUGUGAAAGUAGCCGAAGCCCUAAAGCGGAAGUAUUACAUAUGGCAGAAGCCCUGAAUCCAAAGCCGAAGCAGAAGCCUCCGAACCGUGAAGGAAUGUCUUCCAUGAUUACUUCUCCCAAGAGAUCUUCUACAUAAAGAUCUUACUUGAAUGAUUGAUGAAACGUUUGUCAUAAGUGUACAUGUCAAGUUUUUUCAUUAGCAUGGGGGUUCUGCAUAAGCAAUAAAUGCGCAGCAAGCUAGCAAGUCAAGGAUGAUGCCUAGGAUUGGAUGUUUGGAUUAAAGAGAUGAGGCCGCGUGCCACCUCAUCCAAGGACUGUCAUGUACCACUAUAAAUACUUCCCUUGUGUAACAUUAAAGGGCUAAUGCAAGAAUCAAUACAAGAAACCAUACUUUACUCUCUUUCAAAUUAUCUUGCAACACAAUACAAGUUAAUACAUAUUUACAUGCACAUUCAUGAGCACUUAUUGGUAAUUAUUGUACAAUCGGAUUACGAACAUCCCAUCGGAUUCCGAACGUUCUCG